This is a non-coding RNA of Zonotrichia albicollis (white-throated sparrow), 2154 nucleotides long. NCBI's taxonomy places the organism in Eukaryota, Metazoa, Chordata, Aves, Passeriformes, Passerellidae. The record is from RefSeq and is a predicted model, not a curated record.
CGUUUACUCUGCUCGGGUCUCUAGUGGUUUGAGGAUAAUGUUUAUCAGAAGUGAACGUGCUCAAGUUGUUUCCAUUCAACUGCUGAGUGUGAGCUGAAAUACCAAAGGUCAGAUCUACAGUGAGUCGGUAGAGGGCAGGGGGAGACGAGAGGAAUAUGAAAACAUAAUAUACAACAGACUGUUGAUCGCUUCUGACCUGCCUGGCAAAAAGAUUAUUUUUUUCAGGUCAUAUUUGUCUCACUGCAAAGAUGCAAGCCUGAAAACCUUUCCAAGAUCCCUGGGCCAACAAUCCCUUCCAGCUGAUCGCAGUGCAUGGAAAGAAGAAGUCCUCUCAGACAAGCUAGUGUGUUAAAGCACCAAGGUGAUCUGCUAUGCCCAGCUGUGGCAGAAGGUUGCCUUCCCUGCACUGCCCAGUGAGUGUAGAAGCUGUCUAGCAUUGGCAUGCCUGGCAUUCAUGCAUGGUGCCCAGCACUAGCACAGUGAAGCCCAGGUUUCCAGGAGUGGAUUACAAUCUCUCCCACUCUCCUUGCUAUUACCCUUCCUUCUCUUCCUGCACUUGAAUCUGGACAUGAGUGGACAUUGAGGAAGAGGUUUUGUGCCUACCAGCAGCCACAAUACUUGUGUCACAUCCAACUCCAUAUUGCAAGGCGCUGAGUAACAGCUCAUGAUCCCUAUCAAGUAAUGGCUCCAGGGUUUGUUUACCAACAUCCACUGGAGACUCCAGCUUUUCUGUAGAAACAGAAACUGAGCCCAGGCUUAUCCAGGAAGCCCAAAAGUCCACGUGGGCACAUCCCUGGAGAAGACAGCCCCAGCUCAGCCUCCUGUUUUACCUUUUGGACUGCUGUGUCCCUCUGAGACAGGCUCCAUUGAGAUCUCUGUGAAAUGAAUGAUGUGACUUACCAGUAUCACACAAGCUGUUCCAAGAAUAUCAGCAAGGCACUGGAAAAUGGCAGGGAGACUGGAGACUUUCCUGAGAAGGUUUUACCCAGUGAUGGAAAAUAUAUUUGUGUUAUUACUUUAGCACAAGUGUCUUCUAUAAUGCUAAGGUUUGCUUUCAAAUAAAACAUAAAUUGCACAUCUGGUUGGAAGAAAUAAAUGCAAUAGUGCUUCAAAGACUAUCUGUCAGGCUUAAAAAGAAAAGAGAUGAGGAUUUAUUGGUGUUUUUAUUAUUAACAUAAAAGCCUUGGGAAUCUCAAAAUAGACCAGGAUUAUAGGUAAAUAUGGGUUCUAUUUUCUUCUUUGUUUGCCUUAACAUACUAUUAGCAUCAAGCUAAAAAAGGAUCAUCUGAAUGUUAAUAUGUUUACUGUGUGCACAUGGAUAUUAGCUUAAUCAAUACACAGAUGCAGAAGACUGUAGAGAAAAGUAUGCACUACAAGUGUAUUAUUCAUCUUAAACAUUUCAGACAGCCUCUUCAUUCUGGAGAUACUAUUUGCUUAAGAAACCCCACUCUUGAUGUGCUUUCUCAGUCUUUCAAGACUUUUGUGAAGCAGUAGUGGGCUGCUUCUGUGCAAAGACUUGGAAUGGACAUCUAUUUGCAAAUGAACAAGCAAUGAAAGAAGUGGGAGUUUCUAAAGUAGAUUACUUAUAAAAUUAAAAUUUGAGGAAGUUUGGGUAUAAAUAACAUGUCCAAAUCAGGAAAUAUUUGGUGGCUUGAAGACAUGCACAUUAGAUUUCCUGCCUGAGCUGCUGAUGACUCCAGCCUCCUUUCCAGGAGAAAAUUAUCCUGUGCAAUGCUGGUUAAAGCCUUGCAUGAGUCACUCCAAGGUGUUGGAGGGGGCUGUACAAAUCCUGGUCCCCACUUUCUCCUAAAAAUUGUCUGCAAGAGGUUCAAUUUUGCUGUGUCAGGACCAGGUUGAAUCUUUCAUAGGAUUUAAAUUAAAUCCUUGGCAACCACUUUCUGAUUUUAUAGCAAAAUCUGACCUAUGUGUUAAAGUGAGGACAUUGUUUUGCUGGGUUAUUGCUUAAUUACUAAAUGAAGAAAUAUUAAGUACAAAUUUAAUGACUCAUACAAUAUUUCCAAAUGACAUGUACUAUCAAGUCCCAUUUACAUCUACCACACUGGUGUUUAACUCACUUUCCAUUAUUCCUGAGGCUAUUAAUGUCAGUAAUUACAGCAGGUAACAUGUCUAAUAUUGAGUCCAUUGUGGAAUAAA